Molecule: ribosomal RNA, 301 nt
Filed under: uncultured bacterium
Lineage: Bacteria
Description: partial 16S ribosomal RNA
Rfam family: Bacterial small subunit ribosomal RNA
Source: RNAcentral
CAGUCGCCGCGGGAAUACGGAGGGGGCUAGCGUUGUUCGGAAUUACUUGGCGUAAAGCGCACGUAGGCGGCUUGGUAAGUUAGAGGUGAAAGCCUGGAGCUCAACUCCAGAAUUCCCUUUAAGACUGCCGAGCUAGCAGGUGAGAGAGGUAAGUGGAAUUCCGAGUGUAGAGGUGAAAUUCGUAGAUAUUCGGAAGAACACCAGUGGCGAAGGCGGCUUACUGGCUCAUACUGGACGCUGAGGUGCGAAAGCGUGGGGAGCAAACAGGAUUAGAUACCCCUGUAGUCCCUGUCUCUUAUAC